UACGGGGGGGGUAAGCGUUGUUCGGAAUUACUGGGCGUAAAGGGCUCGUAGGCGGCCAACUAAGUCAUACGUGAAAUCCCUCAGCUUAACUGGGGAACUGCGUGUGAUACUGGAUGGCUUGGAUGUGGGAGAGGGAUGCGGAAUUCCAGGUGUAGCGGUGAAAUGCGCAGAUAUCAGGAGGAACACCGGUGGCGAAGGCGGAUCUCUGGGCCAUUACUGACGCUGAGGAGCGAAAGCGUGGGGAGCGAACAGG
RNAcentral lists this ribosomal RNA (253 nucleotides) under uncultured bacterium. Its description in RNAcentral is "partial 16S ribosomal RNA". It matches the Rfam family "Bacterial small subunit ribosomal RNA", at positions 524 to 776 of the family's 1533-position model. The record is from RNAcentral.